GCGGUUAUUCUCAUGGGCGAAGCCUGAUCCAGCCAUGCCGCGUGUGUGAAGAAGGCUUUCGGGUUGUAAAGCACUUUCAGCGAGGAAGAAAGCCUCUGGAUUAAUACCCCAGAGGAAGGACAUCACUCGCAGAAGAAGCACCGGCUAACUCCGUGCCAGCAGCCGCGGUAAUACGGAGGGUGCGAGCGUUAAUCGGAAUUACUGGGCGUAAAGCGCGCGUAGGUGGCUUGGCACGCCGGUUGUGAAAGCCCCGGGCUCAACCUGGGAACGGCAUCCGGAACGGCCAGGCUAGAGUGCAGGAGAGGAAGGUAGAAUUCCCGGUGUAGCGGUGAAAUGCGUAGAGAUCGGGAGGAAUACCAGUGGCGAAGGCGGCCUUCUGGCCUGACACUGACACUGAGGUGCGAAAGCGUGGGUAGCAAACAGGAUUAGAUACCCUGGUAGUCCACGCCGUAAACGAUGUCGACUAGCCGUUGGGACCUUUAAGGACUUAGUGGCGCAGUUAACGCGAUAAGUCGACCGCCUGGGGAGUACGGCCGCAAGGUUAAAACUCAAAUGAAUUGACGGGGGCCCGCACAAGCGGUGGAGCAUGUGGUUUAAUUCGAUGCAACGCGAAGAACCUUACCUACCCUUGACAUCCAGAGAAGUUGGCAGAGAUGCCUUCGUGCCUUCGGGAACUCUGAGACAGGUGCUGCAUGGCUGUCGUCAGCUCGUGUUGUGAAAUGUUGGGUUAAGUCCCGUAACGAGCGCAACCCUUGUCCUUAUUUGCCAGCGAGUAAAGUCGGGAACUCUAAGGAGACUGCCGGUGACAAACCGGAGGAAGGUGGGGACGACGUCAAGUCAUCAUGGCCCUUACGGGUAGGGCUACACACGUGCUACAAUGGCCGGUACAAAGGGUUGCGAGACCGCGAGGUGGAGCGAAUCCCAGAAAGCCGGCCUCAGUCCGGAUCGGAGUCUGCAACUCGACUCCGUGAAGUCGGAAUCGCUAGUAAUCGUGAAUCAGAAUGUCACGGUGAAUACGUUCCCGGGCCUUGUACACACCGCCCGUCACACCAUGGGAGUGGACUGCACCAGAAGUGGUUAGCUUAACCUUCGGGAGAAGCGAUCACCCACGGUGUGGUUCAUGACUGGGGGUGAGUGA
Molecule: ribosomal RNA, 1138 nt
Filed under: Salinicola sp.
Lineage: Bacteria; Pseudomonadati; Pseudomonadota; Gammaproteobacteria; Oceanospirillales; Halomonadaceae
Description: bacterial SSU rRNA
Rfam family: Bacterial small subunit ribosomal RNA
Source: RNAcentral